AUAGUACUCCCUCCGUUCGGAAUUACUCGUCGCAGAAAUGGAUGUAUCUAGACGUAUUUUAGUUCUAGAUACAUCCGUUUCUGAGACAAGUAAUUCCGAACGGAGGGAGUAACUA
This is a non-coding RNA of Triticum aestivum (bread wheat), 115 nucleotides long. Lineage: Eukaryota; Viridiplantae; Streptophyta; Magnoliopsida; Poales; Poaceae. The record is from Rfam.